UGAGGAAUCUUGGGCAAUGGGCGAAAGCCUGACCCAGCGACGCCGCGUGGAGGAAGAAGGCCUUCGGGUCGUAAACUCCUGUUCGGGGAGAAGAACAGGAGGGAAGUGAAUAACUUCUCUCCCUGACGGUAUCCUCGGAGAAAGCUCCGGCUAAUUACGUGCCAGCAGCCGCGGUAAUACGUAAGGAGCGAGCGUUGUCCGGAUUUACUGGGCGUAAAGAGCUCGUAGGUGGUUUCUUAGGUCUCACGUGAAAUUCCCUGGCUCAACUGGGGAGGGUCGUGGGAAACCGAGAAGCUAGAGGGCAGGAGAGGAGAGUGGAAUUCCCGGUGUAGCGGUGAAAUGCGGAGAGAUCGGGAGGAACACCAGUGGUGAAGACGGCUCUCUGGACUGUCCCUGACACUGAGGAGCGAAAGCCAGGGGAGCGAACC
This 428-nucleotide ribosomal RNA is filed under the name uncultured prokaryote. Its description in RNAcentral is "bacterial SSU rRNA". It matches the Rfam family "Bacterial small subunit ribosomal RNA", at positions 355 to 774 of the family's 1533-position model. The record is from RNAcentral.